CCCCUGGAGCGAGCUGCCCCCUGUGAUGAUCAAACACACACCGUGGAGGAGAUGGUGGGGGGGGGGGGGGGCGUGUUGUGCGUGCGGUUCAAUCGGCGUUCUGUUUGAGCGCUUUGUCUCAUUAUUUUGGAGGUACGGACGCGACGGGUCCGCCGACCCCCGAGCGACGGUGGAUCCGCCGUCCACAGCAGGAAACAAGCCGCUCAUCACGGACUUUGAAUCAAUCGGCACGACGGACUCUGACUGCGAAAACAACUUUUUAAUCACUUCCCAGAAAUGAUUCAUCAGACUUGAAGGAAACACAUUUUCCCCCCCGGCUCAUUUUUACUGUACAAGACGUCUUUAAUUAAGCCGGCUGCGCCCCGAGAUGAGCCUGCUGUAGUUUGUGCGGUUGCAACACGGACGACCUGGAGAGAAGAGUGGAAGCUGCUCAUCGAUGGUCCACCGGACCAGCAGAUGUUUGGCCGGUCCGGAGCACGUUUUGACUGGUGAGAUUUCGGGAGCAGAGCCUGUAAGAAGUGAAGCAAAUGGCGUUAAACUGGGGGAACCGCCCAAGGGACGCGACACACUGCGAGGCACUUUCCUUUAUGCUGAUGAUCAAAUUCAUCAUCAUGCAUCUGCUGCAGUACAAUUUACGACGCAAGCGUCUGCCGGGGGGAGAAACUCAAAGACAUCGAAGAAUCCAACACAGAAAUGUUCUCCAAACAACAACAACAACAACCAACCGUCAACGGCGGAGCCAAAGUCCAAUAGUUCAGCUGAUUGAAGUGUUUUGGCUUCUACCAGCAGACCCCCCCCCUAAACUGCUCCAACAGCAAAACUGUCACCUGCACGCUGAGAGGAUAAAUCAAACGCUCCUCAAGUAUUCAAAAUGUAUUCAGCGUUUCUUUGGGCUCGGCCGCGGAGCCGUUAAAUCCAAGCCGAGUCACUCGGCGGCGUCUUAAUUAAUGAGGCCACUCUGGAGAUUUAUUCUCGGGAACCAAUUACGGAAUCUACGACUCCGGGGCGAGAAUCAAUCGGUGCCGCUGUUAUGACAUCACAAGUGACUUCGCAAGCGUCCUCAAUGGCGCCACGGCAUCGGUGAGGAGGACGGACGCUGACGAAAGGAACGACAAAGUCGCUUCUUUGAGGUCGGCGGGAACUAGUAAUGCAAUCACAGCCGGCAGUAUGAAUCAGAAGGGAAGGAUGCUCCGGGACAGACGGAACUCAUCCGGCUAACGUGUCGGUUUAAGAGUUCAUCGAUCCACAUGUUACAUUAGAUUAUUGUCUAUUAAGACAACGGCAGUUUAACCAGAAGUGCAAGAGAGCAGAUAAAGUGCAGAGUACAUAUAAAUAAAUGUACAGUGUGAAAUAGAUACGUGGAGCAGUAGAUACGUUAUUGUAACGACAAAUUAGUGCAAACGUAGCAUAGCUGAGCAAAUGUGUACGAUGGCCCUGAAGUGCAAAACACAACGGCAAACAUAGGAACGCACAACGGCAUUCACUUCUUACGGAAAGGGGAGGGCCUUAUAGCAGGAAGCAGAGGACGGACCCCUCUGAUUGGACAGACGGACAGUCUGUCUUUUAACCCUCUUAAUCCGAAGCUUUUCGCCGGCGACGGAAAGUGACACGGAGGAUUCAAAUGACAGCCACUCCUUUAACUAUCUGCACAAUCGGAUUGUGAAAGCUGAGAAACGCCGCUUUCUAGAUAUUCUGUCAAUCAAUAAAUCAGAGGCGGGACUGAGAGUCUGGGAUGAGGGGUCACGGAGAGAUGACGAUGUUUUACGAGUGUCUUAAAAGUGUCCUACUAGUGUUUCACCGUUGUUUUACCGCCGUUUUGUUCAAUUAUAUUUAGGUCUUGUAAAUAAAAGUAAAUAAAAAGGGGUGGGGGUGGGUGAGGGGGGGGGGGUGUGCGCCACCUUUGGCUUUCCUGAAGUCUACAACGAGCUCCUUGGUCUUCUCGGUGUUGAGUGCCUGGUGGUUGUUGGUGCUGGACCUCGUUCCUGCAGGCCGACUCACCGCUGUCUGUUGGUCUGUUGGCCAGUUCCUGAGGGAGGCGUGUCCCCAGUGAAUAGGACUCCUGAAUGACCUUUGCUGAGCAGCACAAACAAUGCAUCCGUCCACGCUACACGGCGGAUUGACGCCUGGAGAGAACGUUUCCUCCUCGCUCUCCACGGGCAACGUGAUCUCCAAAACCUGUUUGUAAAAACGUGUACGAAAAUACUUGAACAUACAAAUUUGUAUCAAGACAUAGGAACUGGCGGUGUUUAACCGCGCCCCCUCAGUCAACAACAUGUUUUUGAGGGGGUCAGUAUUCUAUUCUUACAAGUUAACAUUGAUUUCUCGUUAAAAACGCAAUCAUUACACGUUUGUUUUACAUCGUCAUGUCCCACGUCAUCAGUUGCAGUCCGUAUUUAUUUUGUGUGUAUCACUACAAAUUUGUAUGUUCAGGAAGAACAGGUGUUGGAGAUCAGGCCGCCGCGUGGAGCCGACUGGAGGAGGGGAGAUACGAGCGACCUGCUGCGAAUCACGAGGAGACGUCAGAGAGUUGAUGACUUACCUGACAGACCUUCAGCACUAUGGUAGAACACACACACACACACACGUUGCAGCGAAUGUUGACGUCGUUUCCAAAAUGUGCCCUUUAGCAGAGCUGCGGCGUGAAUGAGAAGCUCUGCGCUUUUACAGCAUUGCGGCUUUUGAAAAGAAAAGAAACGGGAAAACCGAAACGGCAGAGCAGCGAGCCGCGUGCACGUGGACUCGUGCACGCGGCUCGGCGAGGGAGACCCUGGACUGCAGAACCGUCUCUGCUGCUUAGGAUGCUUCCCGCAUGGACGUGAGCAUGAGCCACGGAUUCAGCAAUAAUGUCCUAGUGGCAAUCAGACUGAAACGCCGCAGCGGCCACAAAUCACCCAGAUAUGGAAUAUUUAUAACACAGCCCGUAAACUCAAGCGGGACGGGAAAGGUUCUGAAAACUGAACCCGGCGCGCGGCCGUCCGGAGGGAAUGAUUGUGAUAACAAAAUCGUCUUUUUUUUUGUUACUUAUCGAGUGGAAAUGCAGCAAACAUACGCUGGUUCUGUCCUUUGGACCGUGAGGACGUGCAGCUUUGUGUUUUAUGUGAUCCGUGGCUCCACGUCUGCGCGCUUCAGCAGGAGGAGCAGAAAGGCCUCGCGGCCGCGUGGUUGUGCAGGUCGCGUCCUGCAGGAAACGCCGCGAUUGGGUGCGUUUCCCACCGUAAAGCACGCAGCGCUGUGAUUGGCUGCAUCCAAAGCCGCGCGCCCGUCAUCUUCUCCCCUCGUCUCGUGAUGCUUCUUCCUCCCUUAAAGCUCCGGCACGGAGCCAAAGCCAACGUGUUUUUAUUCGUGCUUUUAGCAGCGAGAAUCGAUUCAUUCAGAGAGGAGAUUUAAAAGAAAAGAAAACAGCAUCGUCCUUCUAACAACCUUCAAUCAGUUAGAGGCUCUAUUCAAAUGAAACACAGCUAAUGAGGCCACACACACACACGCACACACACACACACACGCACACACACACACACACACACACGCACACACACACACACACACACGCACACACACGCCGUAGCCAAAGGAAACCAGUCGGAGACGUUCUGGCAGUCGGUUGAAGUCGUCCAUCAUGCCGGGUGACCAAAAACAAACAGCCAAUCCGAGCGGCGGGUUUGAGGCUGCUCUGCUGCUCCGGCGUCGCCUUCACCGAGUUACGGCGCCGUGAAAAACCGGCGGGACGCUUUGAGAGCAUCCUACUCCCCCUCGGCAAAUCGGGGACGAGUCGUAGUCAGAGAGUCGUAGUACAGACGGCCCCCCGGCCUCCUGCUUCCUGCUGCCCACCAACAGCCUCUUGACUGCUGCUGACGAAUACGCGUGUCCCCAAUUAAUAAAAGUAAAUGACCUUCCUUCCAUGUCGUCUUCUUGCUGAGCAACACAAAAAACGCAUCCGUCCACACGACGGAUGCGUUUCCUUUUCACUAUUCCUCGAGCUGCCAUGAAGCCGGGCGGCUGAAAUGCUUCAUGCGUACCGAUCAUUAAAAUACAUCCAGCUUCAUCUUCCUGCCUCACUGCGAACUGCUGAUCAAUUAGAUCAAUUAGAUCUCUCUGCCUGCUCAGAUUGAUGCAACGUUUUUUGAGCUAUGAAUAUAAAUAUAAAUAUUCACUUUAAAUUGUCUCUAUUAAAGCGCUCAGACACACACACACACACACACACACACACACACACACACACCUGUCUACACACACACACACACACACACAGACAACAGAAGCAGGGUGAAGCACAGAUCGGCGGCUCACUAACUUUGUGUGUUUUCUCUUGUGUGCGUCGUGCACGUCUCAUGAGUCUCUUGUGUGCGUCGUGCACGUCUCGGGAGUCUCUUGUGUGCGUCGUGCACGUCUCAUGAGUCUCUUGUGUGAUUCUCGGUAGAUAUUUCUUGCAUUAGAGAUGUUACAAAGUAUCGUAUGUUUCACUUCUUUUUUUUCCGGUUAAAUAUAAUUUCUGUCUCGCGGAGCUUCACCGUCCUUUGAUGUCUUCACAGCUGCAUAAUCUUUUUAUUUCUCUCUUGUUCUUCACAUGAAACACGUUUUCAUGGAUUACCUUUUUCUGCAUCUUUUUAAAGCACAUUAAAGGCAUCUUGCAGUGGCCAUCGUGUUUUUUCUGCAAGAAGUGGACAGGAAGUGACCAUAUUUGAACUGAGCGAAGCGUCUUUGGUAGACCUGUCAAUCACUGCAUAGGCCCGCCCUAAAGCAUCCAUUCAAUGUUUAUUUUAUUUCCCUUUGUGCUGUAGAUACAUCGUGUAUUCAUAUGCAAAAAAACAGAUAGAAUAUAGACAACAGCAAAUAGAUCAUUUGCUGUUGACGAGGUGUUGAUUGAAUGAAUAGUUCAAUCACACCAGCUGGUCAUGCAGUGUGAUGAUGAUUAUUAUCAGGAAGCAGAGAGGACGAGGCGGUUUACUGUAGUAAGACACUUAGACCAAGAGGCAGCGGUUCUAAACUACAUUUACAACCACAAGCAAAUAAAACUUCAUCUAAACCUCAAAUACUGCGUGGCGUGUGUGUGUGUGUUUUAACAGUCUUGUGGGGACAUUAAUCUGUUCACACAUUCACAUUGUGGGGACUCACCUUCUUGACAGGGACGUCCCCACAACGUGACCUAUUACACAUUAUGGUGAAGUUAUUUUAGGGUUUGUCUCCACGAAAUUAAUUUAAGUCAAUGGCAGGUCUCCGAAAGUCGUGCUGGGUGGGAUUACAUGUAAAUAUGAAGAUAGAGGUCUGGGGACUUUGGUGUUUGUGUCUUUAAUAGUGUGCGUGUGUGUGUGUGUGUGUGUGUGAUCUGGGAUGUUGUGUUUCUGGGAGAGAAGAACUUUAUCUGAAACGCCGCAUGUGUCAGGGACGCGUGGAAAGGCAGGACUCAAACGCAGAGUUCAAAGCAAAAAGACUUUAAUAGUCAAAAUCCAAAAAGCAAAAGGCCAACGGGCAAAAACACACAGGAACA
This is a long non-coding RNA of Gasterosteus aculeatus aculeatus (three-spined stickleback), 5482 nucleotides long. NCBI's taxonomy places the organism in Eukaryota, Metazoa, Chordata, Actinopteri, Perciformes, Gasterosteidae. The record is from Ensembl.